This 281-nucleotide ribosomal RNA is filed under the name uncultured Staphylococcus sp. RNAcentral describes it as "partial 16S ribosomal RNA". It matches the Rfam family "Bacterial small subunit ribosomal RNA", at positions 81 to 356 of the family's 1533-position model. The record is from RNAcentral. Lineage: Bacteria; Bacillati; Bacillota; Bacilli; Caryophanales; Staphylococcaceae.
CUCCUUUGACGUUAGCGGCGGACGGGUGAGUAACACGUGGGUAACCUACCUAUAAGACUGGGAUAACUUCGGGAAACCGGAGCUAAUACCGGAUAAUAUUUCGAAACGCAUGGUUCGAUAGUGAAAGGUGGUUUUGCUAUCACUUAUAGAUGGACCCGCGCCGUAUUAGCUAGUUGGUAAGGUAACGGCUUACCAAGGCGACGAUACGUAGCCGACCUGAGAGGGUGAUCGGCCACACUGGAACUGAGACACGGUCCAGACUCCUACGGGAGGCAGCAGCG